UAGUCCGCACAGUAAACGAUGAAUACUCGCGGUUGGCGAUACAAUGUCAGCCGCCAAGCGAAAGCGUUAAGUAUUCCACCUGGGGAGUACGCCGGCAACGGUGAAACUCAAAGGAAUUGACGGGGGCCCGCACAAGCGGAGGAACAUGUGGUUUAAUUCGAUGAUACGCGAGGAACCUUACCCGGGCUUGAACUGAGGGGGAAUGAGCCAGAGAUGGCUCAGUCUUCGGACUCCCUUGG
This 239-nucleotide ribosomal RNA is filed under the name uncultured bacterium. Its description in RNAcentral is "partial 16S ribosomal RNA". It matches the Rfam family "Bacterial small subunit ribosomal RNA", at positions 791 to 1035 of the family's 1533-position model. The record is from RNAcentral.